UGGGGAAUAUUGGACAAUGGGCGAAAGCCUGAUCCAGCCAUGCCGCGUGUGUGAAGAAGGUCUUCGGAUUGUAAAGCACUUUAAGUUGGGAGGAAGGGCAGUAAGCGAAUACCUUGCUGUUUUGACGUUACCGACAGAAUAAGCACCGGCUAACUCUGUGCCAGCAGCCGCGGUAAUACAGAGGGUGCAAGCGUUAAUCGGAAUUACUGGGCGUAAAGCGCGCGUAGGUGGUUCGUUAAGUUGAAUGUGAAAGCCCCGGGCUCAACCUGGGAACUGCAUCCAAAACAGGCGAGCUAGAGUAGGGCAGAGGGUGGUGGAAUUGCCUGUGUAGCGGUGAAAUGCGUAGGUAUAGGAAGGAACACCAGUGGCGAAGGCGACCACCUGGGCUCAUACUGACACUGAGGUGCGAAAGCGUGGGGAGCAAACAGG
RNAcentral lists this ribosomal RNA (429 nucleotides) under Pseudomonadota bacterium. Its description in RNAcentral is "Proteobacteria bacterium partial 16S ribosomal RNA". It matches the Rfam family "Bacterial small subunit ribosomal RNA", at positions 355 to 776 of the family's 1533-position model. Lineage: Bacteria; Pseudomonadati; Pseudomonadota. The record is from RNAcentral.